This 345-nucleotide ribosomal RNA is filed under the name uncultured fungus. Its description in RNAcentral is "bacterial SSU rRNA". It matches the Rfam family "Eukaryotic small subunit ribosomal RNA", at positions 1344 to 1698 of the family's 1831-position model. Lineage: Eukaryota; Fungi. The record is from RNAcentral.
UAACCUGCUAAAUAGGUGCGCGAUUUCAUGAUGGAAUUGUAGUGUGCAACUUCUUAGAGGGACUAUUGGUGUUUAACCAAUGGAAGUUUUAGGCAAUAACAGGUCUGUGAUGCCCUUAGAUGUUCUGGGCCGCACGCGCGCUACACUGAUAAAGGCAACGAGGGAACCGUAAGCCUGUCCUGGAAGGGAUGGGAAAUCUUUGGAAACUUUAUCGUGCUGGGGAUAGAUCUUUGCAAUUUUCGAUCUUUAACGAGGAAUUCCUAGUAAGCGCAAGUCAACAGCUUGCGUUGAUUACGUCCCUGCCCUUUGUACACACCGCCCGUCGCUACUACCGAUUGAAUGGCU